RNAcentral lists this unclassified non-coding RNA (254 nucleotides) under Hevea brasiliensis (rubber tree). Lineage: Eukaryota; Viridiplantae; Streptophyta; Magnoliopsida; Malpighiales; Euphorbiaceae. The record is from RNAcentral.
GAGGUAUAUACCCAUCUCAAUCUGAAACGCGAAAUAAGGAUGCAGUGACAAAGGAAGAGGGACAAAAAACCAAUGUAACAAAAUUGUAUCCAACAACUUCAGCCAGAAACCCAAACAUAAAACACUAUUUAUUGCCGCAACAAAUAAUAGCUCCCAUGGCCAUUUCAGACCAGAUGAUUUCUUUGGCUAGUGAGAAACAGAAGUUUAGUCUCAAAACUCAAAGACCAUAGUUUUUUUCUCUAUGUUCUUUAAUA